This is a long non-coding RNA of Sycon ciliatum, 700 nucleotides long. RefSeq lists it as uncharacterized. Lineage: Eukaryota; Metazoa; Porifera; Calcarea; Leucosolenida; Sycettidae. The transcript is spliced from 3 exons. The record is from RefSeq and is a predicted model, not a curated record.
UAUUGCGAGUUUUUGCUCGCUCUCUGAGUCCGAGCUAAAUGACUUCCAUCGUGCCUUCGUUACAACGACAACUCGUCGCUGAGGAUGCGGUACUCCCUCAAAUAGGAUUACGAUUUACUUGACUUUCGGACGCCACCCUGUGUGCUGUUGAUGGGUUUUCAGCUUUGUGGCUGCAGUCACGGCCUAACUGUUCUUCGUACAAUUUGGGGAUUCCAGACAAACAGUUGACGGCGCUUUGCAAACUGCCCUCAGCCAGUGACGGCAUCCUCUCAGAACCAUACUUAUCUGGCCCAUCUCCUGGGAAGAAGAAAGCGAAUAUGGUUCAAGUUUCCAUCAGACAUGUAAUUAUUCUGCUGCUGAGCCUGAGCAUUAUGCUCUGUGCUCAUGCACAACUACCUGGUGGUGGACCACUUCAAGAAUUCCAUGCACCUGGCUCCAAUGUAGCGGGUGUAACAUGCAACACUACCGACCCGAAUACGGUACGAUUUGUACACCUAGGUGUUGGCGGCAGUAGUGUGCCACGACUGGUUCCUUUUUACAAUGCUUCUGAUCCCACCCAAACUGAGUACCAGCGCUUGAUUUCGAAUUCAAGCAGCAACUUCAUCUACCAGCUUCACAUUAUCAAUUAUGACGGAGUGCGAGCAGUCUUCGCGUGUGGAUCAGUAGCAUUACUUGCCCAUAAUCACUAUAUCAUUGAACU